AGUCACUGACAUUAGAUACCCGUGUAGUCCAGGGUGUAAACGCUGCAGACUUGGUGUUGGAGGCCCUUUGGGGGCAUUCAGUGCCGGAGAGAAGUUGUUAAGUCUGCUACUUGGGGAGUACGUCCGCAAGGAUGAAACUUAAAGGAAUUGGCGGGGGAGCACCGCAACGGGAGGAGCGUGCGGUUCAAUUGGAUUCAACGCCGGACAGCUCACCAGGAGCGACGGUUACAUGAAGGCCAGGCUGAUGACCUUGCCUGAUUUUCCG
Molecule: ribosomal RNA, 265 nt
Filed under: uncultured archaeon
Lineage: Archaea
Description: partial 16S ribosomal RNA
Rfam family: Archaeal small subunit ribosomal RNA
Source: RNAcentral